RNAcentral lists this ribosomal RNA (762 nucleotides) under Candida albicans. Its description in RNAcentral is "eukaryotic LSU rRNA". It matches the Rfam family "Eukaryotic large subunit ribosomal RNA", at positions 114 to 892 of the family's 3401-position model. The record is from RNAcentral. Lineage: Eukaryota; Fungi; Ascomycota; Pichiomycetes; Serinales; Debaryomycetaceae.
UUUGAAAUCUGGCGUCUUUGGCGUCCGAGUUGUAAUUUGAAGAAGGUAUCUUUGGGCCCGGCUCUUGUCUAUGUUCCUUGGAACAGGACGUCACAGAGGGUGAGAAUCCCGUGCGAUGAGAUGACCCGGGUCUGUGUAAAGUUCCUUCGACGAGUCGAGUUGUUUGGGAAUGCAGCUCUAAGUGGGUGGUAAAUUCCAUCUAAAGCUAAAUAUUGGCGAGAGACCGAUAGCGAACAAGUACAGUGAUGGAAAGAUGAAAAGAACUUUGAAAAGAGAGUGAAAAAGUACGUGAAAUUGUUGAAAGGGAAGGGCUUGAGAUCAGACUUGGUAUUUUGCAUGCUGCUCUCUCGGGGGCGGCCGCUGCGGUUUACCGGGCCAGCAUCGGUUUGGAGCGGCAGGAUAAUGGCGGAGGAAUGUGGCACGGCUUCUGCUGUGUGUUAUAGCCUCUGACGAUACUGCCAGCCUAGACCGAGGACUGCGGUUUUUUUACCUAGGAUGUUGGCAUAAUGAUCUUAAGUCGCCCGUCUUGAAACACGGACCAAGGAGUCUAACGUCUAUGCGAGUGUUUGGGUGUAAAACCCGUACGCGUAAUGAAAGUGAACGAAGGUGGGGGCCCAUUAGGGUGCACCAUCGACCGAUCCUGAUGUGUUCGGAUGGAUUUGAGUAAGAGCAUAGCUGUUGGGACCCGAAAGAUGGUGAACUAUGCCUGAAUAGGGUGAAGCCAGAGGAAACUCUGGUGGAGGCUCGUAGCGGUUCUGACGU